UACAGAGGUGGCAAGCGUUGUUCGGAAUUACUGGGCGUAAAGGGCGCGUAGGCGGCCAUCUAAGUCAGACGUGAAAUCCCCCGGCUUAACCUGGGAACUGCGUCUGAUACUGGACGGCUUGAGUGCGGGAGAGGGAUGUGGAAUUCCAGGUGUAGCGGUGAAAUGCGUAGAUAUCUGGAGGAACACCGGUGGCGAAGGCGGCAUCCUGGACCGACACUGACGCUGAGGCGCGAAAGCGUGGGGAGCAAACAGG
This 253-nucleotide ribosomal RNA is filed under the name uncultured bacterium. Its description in RNAcentral is "partial 16S ribosomal RNA". It matches the Rfam family "Bacterial small subunit ribosomal RNA", at positions 524 to 776 of the family's 1533-position model. The record is from RNAcentral.